UACGGGGGGGGCAAGCGUUGUUCGGAAUUACUGGGCGUAAAGGGCUCGUAGGCGGCCAACUAAGUCGGACGUGAAAUCCCCAGGCUCAACCUGGGAACUGCGUCCGAUACUGGAUGGCUUGAAUCCGGGAGAGGGAUGCAGAAUUCCAGGUGUAGCGGUGAAAUGCGUAGAGAUCGGGCGGAACACCAGCGGCGAAGGCGGCAUCCUGGUCCUGUUCUGACGCUGAGGCGCGAGAGCGUGGGGAGCGAACUGG
Molecule: ribosomal RNA, 253 nt
Filed under: uncultured bacterium
Lineage: Bacteria
Description: partial 16S ribosomal RNA
Rfam family: Bacterial small subunit ribosomal RNA
Source: RNAcentral